This 493-nucleotide ribosomal RNA is filed under the name uncultured bacterium. Its description in RNAcentral is "partial 16S ribosomal RNA". It matches the Rfam family "Bacterial small subunit ribosomal RNA", at positions 28 to 507 of the family's 1533-position model. The record is from RNAcentral.
GACGAACGCUGGCGGCGUGCUUAACACAUGCAAGUCGAACGGUGAAGGGACCGGUUUUUGCUGGUUCUGGAUGAGUGGCGAACGGGUGAGUAACACGUGAGUAACCUUCCCCCUUCUUCUGGAUAACCGCAUGAAAGUGUGGCUAAUACGGGAUAUUCUGCGCCUGCUGCAUGGUGGGUGUGGUCAAGAUAUUGUUUCGGUGGGGGAUGGGCUCGCGGCCUAUCAGCUUGUUGGUGGGGUGAUGGCCUAGCGAGGCGGUGGCGGGUAGCCGGCCUGAGAGGGUGGACGGUCACACUGGGACGGAGACACGGAGCAGACUCCGACGGGAGGCAGCAGUGGAGAAUAUUGCACAAUGGGCGCAAGGCUGAUGCAGCGACGCCGGGGGAGGGAUGGAGGCCUGCGGGUUGUAAACCUCUUUCGCCAGUGAAGCAGGCCUGUCCCUUUUGUGGGUGGGUUGACGGUAGCUGGAGAAGAAGCGCCGGCUAACUACGUG